GACGAACGCUGGCGGCGUGCUUAACACAUGCAAGUCGAACGGAAAGGCCCUGCUUUUGUGGGGUGCUCGAGUGGCGAACGGGUGAGUAACACGUGAGUAACCUGCCCUUGACUUUGGGAUAACUUCAGGAAACUGGGGCUAAUACCGGACAGGAGCCCCUGCUCCAUGGUGGGGGUUGGAAAGUUUCGGCGGUUGGGGAUGGAUUCGCGGCUUAUCAGCUUGUUGGUGGGGUAGUGGCUUACCAAGGCUUUGACGGGUAGCCGGCCUGAGAGGGUGACCGGCGACAUGGGGACUGAGAUACGGACCAGACUGCUACGGGGGGCAGCAGUGGGGAAUAUUGCACAAUGGGCGGAAGCCUGAUACAGCAACGCCGCGUGCGGGAUGACGGCCUUCGGGGUGUAAACCGCUUUCGCCUGUGACGAAGCGUGAGUGACGGUAAUGGGUAAAGAAGCACCGGCUAACUACGUG
This 468-nucleotide ribosomal RNA is filed under the name uncultured bacterium. Its description in RNAcentral is "partial 16S ribosomal RNA". It matches the Rfam family "Bacterial small subunit ribosomal RNA", at positions 28 to 507 of the family's 1533-position model. The record is from RNAcentral.